GAUGAACGCUGGCGGCGUGCCUAAUACAUGCAAGUCGAGCGAACAGAUGAGGAGCUUGCUCCUCUGACGUUAGCGGCGGACGGGUGAGUAACACGUGGAUAACCUACCUAUAAGACUGGGAUAACUUCGGGAAACCGGAGCUAAUACCGGAUAAUGUAUUGAACCGCAUGGUUCAAUAGUGAAAGACGGUUUUGCUGUCACUUAUAGAUGGAUCCGCGCCGCAUUAGCUAGUUGGUAAGGUAACGGCUUACCAAGGCAACGAUGCGUAGCCGACCUGAGAGGGUGAUCGGCCACACUGGAACUGAGACACGGUCCAGACUCCUACGGGAGGCAGCAGUAGGGAAUCUUCCGCAAUGGGCGAAAGCCUGACGGAGCAACGCCGCGUGAGUGAUGAAGGUCUUCGGAUCGUAAAACUCUGUUAUUGGGGAAGAACAAAUGUGUAAGUAACUAUGCACGUCUUGACGGUACCUAAUCAGAAAGCCACGGCUAACUACGUG
Molecule: ribosomal RNA, 497 nt
Filed under: uncultured bacterium
Lineage: Bacteria
Description: partial 16S ribosomal RNA
Rfam family: Bacterial small subunit ribosomal RNA
Source: RNAcentral